RNAcentral lists this ribosomal RNA (1369 nucleotides) under uncultured Streptococcus sp. Its description in RNAcentral is "bacterial SSU rRNA". It matches the Rfam family "Bacterial small subunit ribosomal RNA", at positions 28 to 1380 of the family's 1533-position model. Lineage: Bacteria; Bacillati; Bacillota; Bacilli; Lactobacillales; Streptococcaceae. The record is from RNAcentral.
GACGAACGCUGGCGGCGUGCCUAAUACAUGCAAGUAGAACGCUGAAGAGAGGAGCUUGCUCUUCUUGGAUGAGUUGCGAACGGGUGAGUAACGCGUAGGUAACCUGCCUUGUAGCGGGGGAUAACUAUUGGAAACGAUAGCUAAUACCGCAUAACAAUGGAUGACACAUGUCAUUUAUUUGAAAGGGGCAAUUGCUCCACUACAAGAUGGACCUGCGUUGUAUUAGCUAGUAGGUGAGGUAAUGGCUCACCUAGGCGACGAUACAUAGCCGACCUGAGAGGGUGAUCGGCCACACUGGGACUGAGACACGGCCCAGACUCCUACGGGAGGCAGCAGUAGGGAAUCUUCGGCAAUGGGGGCAACCCUGACCGAGCAACGCCGCGUGAGUGAAGAAGGUUUUCGGAUCGUAAAGCUCUGUUGUAAGUCAAGAACGGGUGUGAGAGUGGAAAGUUCACACUGUGACGGUAGCUUACCAGAAGGGGACGGCUAACUACGUGCCAGCAGCCGCGGUAAUACGUAGGUCCCGAGCGUUGUCCGGAUUUAUUGGGCGUAAAGCGAGCGCAGGCGGUUUGAUAAGUCUGAAGUUAAAGGCUGUGGCUCAACCAUAGUUCGCUUUGGAAACUGUCAAACUUGAGUGCAGAAGGGGAGAGUGGAAUUCCAUGUGUAGCGGUGAAAUGCGUAGAUAUAUGGAGGAACACCGGUGGCGAAAGCGGCUCUCUGGUCUGUAACUGACGCUGAGGCUCGAAAGCGUGGGGAGCGAACAGGAUUAGAUACCCUGGUAGUCCACGCCGUAAACGAUGAGUGCUAGGUGUUGGAUCCUUUCCGGGAUUCAGUGCCGCAGCUAACGCAUUAAGCACUCCGCCUGGGGAGUACGACCGCAAGGUUGAAACUCAAAAGGAAUUGACGGGGGCCCGCACAAGCGGUGGAGCAUGUGGUUUAAUUCGAAGCAACGCGAAGAACCUUACCAGGUCUUGACAUCCCGAUGCUAUUUCUAGAGAUAGAAAGUUACUUCGGUACAUCGGUGACAGGUGGUGCAUGGUUGUCGUCAGCUCGUGUCGUGAGAUGUUGGGUUAAGUCCCGCAACGAGCGCAACCCCUAUUGUUAGUUGCCAUCAUUCAGUUGGGCACUCUAGCGAGACUGCCGGUAAUAAACCGGAGGAAGGUGGGGAUGACGUCAAAUCAUCAUGCCCCUUAUGACCUGGGCUACACACGUGCUACAAUGGUUGGUACAACGAGUUGCGAGUCGGUGACGGCGAGCUAAUCUCUUAAAGCCAAUCUCAGUUCGGAUUGUAGGCUGCAACUCGCCUACAUGAAGUCGGAAUCGCUAGUAAUCGCGGAUCAGCACGCCGCGGUGAAUACGUUCCCGGGCC